UAUCCUACGGGACGCAGCAGUGGGGAAUAUUGCACAAUGGGCGCAAGCCUGAUGCAGCGACGCCGCGUGCGGGAUGGAGGCCUUCGGGUUGUAAACCGCUUUUGUUCAAGGGCAAGGCACGGUCUUUUGCCGUGUUGCGUGGAUUGUUCGAAUAAGCACCGGCUAAUUACGUGCCAGCAGCCGCGGUAAUACGUAGGGUGCAAGCGUUAUCCGGAUUUAUUGGGCGUAAAGGGCUCGUAGGCGGUUUGUCACGUCCGGUGUGAAA
RNAcentral lists this ribosomal RNA (265 nucleotides) under uncultured bacterium. Its description in RNAcentral is "partial 16S ribosomal RNA". It matches the Rfam family "Bacterial small subunit ribosomal RNA", at positions 335 to 599 of the family's 1533-position model. The record is from RNAcentral.